GACGAACGCUGGCGGCGUGCUUAACACAUGCCAGUCGAACGGUGAAGCGCCUUCCUUUUUGGUGGGUGUGGAUGAGUGGCGAACGGGUGAGUAACACGUGAGUAACCUGCCCCCUUCUUCUGGAUAACCGCAUGAAAGUGUGGCUAAUACGGGAUAUUCUGGGUCUGUCGCAUGAUGGGUCUGGGAAAGAUAUUGUUUCGGUGGGGGAUGGGCUCGCGGCCUAUCAGCUUGUUGGUGGGGUGAUGGCCUACCAAGGCGGUGACGGGUAGCCGGCCUGAGAGGGUGGACGGUCACACUGGGACUGAGAGACAGCCCGGACUCCUACGAGAGGCAGCAGUGGGGAAUAUUGCACAAUGGGCGCAAGGCUGAUGCAGCGACGCCGCGUGAGGGAUGGAGGCCUUCGGGUUGUGAACCUCUUUCGCCAGUGAAGCAGGCCUGCCUCGUUUGUGGGUGGGUUGACGGUAGCUGGAUAAGAAGCGCCGGCUAACUACGUG
RNAcentral lists this ribosomal RNA (494 nucleotides) under uncultured bacterium. RNAcentral's name for it is "partial 16S ribosomal RNA". It matches the Rfam family "Bacterial small subunit ribosomal RNA", at positions 28 to 507 of the family's 1533-position model. The record is from RNAcentral.